GGUGAUUAAGCUUGAGUAAGACAGUUGCAUUCAUCAGAGCAGAGCCGUGGCUGUUGAAAUGGGGAGAGUGAAUGCUGCGUGAAAAAUACCUGGUGACCUGUUCAGAUCCUACUAUGGCAACAGCCAAGAGCCUUGGAUUCCAUGCCAGCUGUACCAUGGCAUGUGCAGAAACACCUGCAGAAAAAAUGAAAUUCAAUACUUAACCUGCCCAAGUGAUCAAAAGUGCUGCCUGAAACUGUCUAUGAAGGUAGCCCGUUCUAACAAUGUGAAGGAUUAUGACUCCGACUCCAACCUGUCAGUUACCAACCUUUCAAGCUACUCUAAAAUUUGAACAUCACCAACCAUACCACCACUCCCCGGAGUAAUUCUUCCCUCAUUCUGGAACACUCUCUCCAUAAAAACGCAUUCCUUCUCA
Molecule: RNA transcript, 415 nt
Organism: Neofelis nebulosa (Clouded leopard)
Lineage: Eukaryota; Metazoa; Chordata; Mammalia; Carnivora; Felidae
Gene: DEFB116
Gene name: defensin beta 116
Exons: 2
Source: RefSeq, a predicted model, not a curated record